Molecule: ribosomal RNA, 334 nt
Filed under: uncultured Eubacterium sp.
Lineage: Bacteria; Bacillati; Bacillota; Clostridia; Eubacteriales; Eubacteriaceae
Description: partial 16S ribosomal RNA
Rfam family: Bacterial small subunit ribosomal RNA
Source: RNAcentral
GGCGUCACGGGUGAGUAACGCGUAUGCAACCUACCCACUACAKGGUGAAUAACCCGGAGAAAUUCGGACUAAUACCCCAUAUAMCCACAGGCUGGCAUUAGCCAAUGGGGAAAGGAGCAAUMCGGUGGUGGAUGGGCAUGCGUAUCAUUAGAUARUKGGGGGGGUAACGGCCCACCAARUCUAUGAUGAUUAGGGGAUCUGARAGGAUUAACCCCCACACUGGGACUGAUACACGGUCCAAACUCCUACGGGAGGCAGCAAUGAGGAAUAUUGGUCMAUGGCCGAAAKGCUGAACCAGYCAUGCCGCGUGCAGGACUACSGNCCUACGGGUCUU